Molecule: long non-coding RNA, 1386 nt
Organism: Brienomyrus brachyistius
Lineage: Eukaryota; Metazoa; Chordata; Actinopteri; Osteoglossiformes; Mormyridae
Exons: 2
Source: RefSeq, a predicted model, not a curated record
CGAGGCGCGCAGUAAAGUCACGCUACCUUCAACAUGGCGUUUAGGUACAUUUACUUAAUUUUAGACAGAAAGUAAGACGAUGCCGAGCCCGAAAGCACAGGGGCGCCUUCGCUCUAAGCAGCCUCAUCUCUUGGAACAGGUUCAAUAAAUAGCUUAAUAAGGGCUAAUGAUCGGCGAUCAGGAAGCAGUAAGGGCGAAGAUCGGGGUCAGAGACACGUGGAUGGCGUCAGACCGGGGGUCUGCUCGGCAGCAGCCUGGAAGGCACACCGGACGGGCCGCCUGCCGCAGCCCUGGAGCCGGCCCGAAUGAGGACGGGACGAGCUCAGGUGUCCUGGUCAUCCAGCUCCAGACUCUGCUGGCUCGCCGCAGACUCGCUGUCCUCCGCCAUCAUGGACAGAUAUGCUGAAAAAAAAUUAGUAAUACUGGAGGACGGUGGGGGAAUUAAAAACACAAAGAGAAUAAGGAGCGAAACCGCGCCGCCUAGCGGCCGUCCUCCUGGAUGCGAAUGCGCGCGGGGGGGGGAUAACGCGCAGGGCACCGGGGCUUCUAAUCACCACAACCGUUGUUCUGUAAUUAUUCCAUAAUUAGUAUCAUUGAAAAACCGGACGCAAAACAUCCCAAUUCGGCUUGAGAUCUUUUAAUUUUUCUGUCUGUGUUUAUUAAACGAUGCAAUGAGGGGCUGUGCAGUUCGGGGGGGUUGAUGCCCCCGAACUGGAUGGCAGAUCUCUGGACCCCUACGAAAGUACAUUAACACCUUUUUUAAAGAUUAAUUUUCAAAGACGAUUUGUAUUUAGUGACGAACGGAUUUUUAAACUACGAUGACGGCGGACGGCCUACCGGCACCAUCGUUGGACCCUCAUACUGCACGUGCGCUCCAUCAACCAAAACGCUGCUAUAUUCCUAUUAAAAAAUGUCACACUGCCUUGGGCCUGCUAUUUGAGGAUUGUGCUCUGUAUUAGGGUUACUCAGACUGGAACCAUCAGAGAAGAUGGUAAAGUAAAUGGUGCACAAGGCGGGUUUUAGCAGCGCUCCAUUUACCCAGCAGGGAGGAUUCACCUGUAGUGUCCGGACCGGAGAGGUUCCAGCCUCUCUUCCUCCGCCUUCCCCAUUACAGGCAGCAGACCUGCCCCCAUUCCCAGAGCAGGGGAAAGAAGCCCAGAAAUAGGAAGUACCCAUCACCCGGGAGGACGUGGAUACUGGACAUCACUGGGAUCCUUACUGGGAUCCUUACUGGGAUCUCCUAGGUGUCCCGGUCACGCAACAGCAGUUACAUUUGUCACAUGAAAAGUAGACUUCAAAAUCUACAUUUAAAUACACUACAUGUAAACUAUGAAAUUUUCCUUGUUCUAAUUCACCUUGAAAUAAAAUGUGAUAAUUACCACAGAA